Molecule: ribosomal RNA, 118 nt
Filed under: Catenaria anguillulae PL171
Lineage: Eukaryota; Fungi; Blastocladiomycota; Blastocladiomycetes; Blastocladiales; Catenariaceae
Source: RNAcentral
AGCUACGGCCAUACACACCUGAAAGCCCCCAUCCCGUCCGAUCUGGGUAGGUAAACAGGUGCUGGCCCAGUCAGUACUGCCGUAGGAGACUAGGCGGGAAUACUGGGUGCUGUAGUUU